CACGUAGGGUGCAAGCGUUGUCCGGAAUCAUUGGGCGUAAAGAGCUCGUAGGCGGCUUAGUAAGUCGGGUGUGAAAACCCCAGGCUCAACCUGGGGACGCCACCCGAUACUGCUAUAGCUAGAGUCCAGUAGGGGAGUGUGGAAUUCCCAGUGUAGCGGUGAAAUGCGCAGAUAUUGGGAGGAACACCAGCGGCGAAGGCGGCUCUCUGGGACGUGACUGACGCUGAGACGCGAAAGCGUGGGGAGCGAACAGG
Molecule: ribosomal RNA, 254 nt
Filed under: uncultured bacterium
Lineage: Bacteria
Description: partial 16S ribosomal RNA
Rfam family: Bacterial small subunit ribosomal RNA
Source: RNAcentral